Molecule: ribosomal RNA, 164 nt
Filed under: Teucrium botrys
Lineage: Eukaryota; Viridiplantae; Streptophyta; Magnoliopsida; Lamiales; Lamiaceae
Description: 5.8S ribosomal RNA
Rfam family: 5.8S ribosomal RNA
About the family: 5.8S ribosomal RNA (5.8S rRNA) is a component of the large subunit of the eukaryotic ribosome.
Source: RNAcentral
AAAACGACUCUCGGCAACGGAUAUCUCGGCUCUCGCAUCGAUNAAGAACGUAGCGAAAUGCGAUACUUGGUGUGAAUUGCAGAAUCCCGUGAACCAUCGAGUCUUUGAACGCAAGUUGCGCCCGAAGCCAUUNGGCCGAGGGCACGUCUGCCUGGGCGUCACGC